UANAAGAACNNNCNNGGUCNNGACAUGCAUCCUGUCGUCGGUGAAAGCNGGNUAGUGGUNCNAUACANGGUUUGCACAGGUGCUGCAUGGCUGUCGUCAGCUCGUGUCGUGAGAUGUUGGGUUAAGUCCCGCAACGAGNGCAACCCCUGUGAUUUGUUGCCAGCGAGUCAAGUCCGGCACUCGAAUCAGACUGCCUCGAUCAACGAGGAGGAAGGUGGGGACGACGUCAAGUCCGUAUGGCCCUUACGACCAGGGCUGCACACGUACUACAAUGCCCAGUACAAUGUGAACCGAAACCGCGAGGUGGAGGAAAUCGAUAAAACUGGGCUCAGUUCAGAUUGCAGGCUGCAACUCGCCUGCAUGAAGUUGGAAUCGCUAGUAAUGGCGCAUCANCUACNGCGCCNUGAAUACNUUCCCGGGUCUUGUACACACCGA
Molecule: ribosomal RNA, 435 nt
Filed under: uncultured bacterium
Lineage: Bacteria
Description: partial 16S ribosomal RNA
Rfam family: Bacterial small subunit ribosomal RNA
Source: RNAcentral